AUUGAACGCUGGCGGCAUGCCUUACACACGCAAGUCGAACGGUAACAGGUCUUCGGAUGCUGACGAGUGGCGAACGGGUGAGUAAUACAUCGGAACGUGCCUAGUAGUGGGGGAUAACUACUCGAAAGAGUGGCUAAUACCGCAUGAGAUCUACGGAUGAAAGCAGGGGAUCGCAAGACCUUGUGCUACUAGAGCGGCCGAUGGCAGAUUAGGUAGUUGGGGGGGUAAAAGCUUACCAAGCCGACGAUCUGUAGCUGGUCUGAGAGGACGAUCAGCCACACUGGGACUGAGACACGGCCCAGACUCCUACGGGAGGCAGCAGUGGGGAAUUUUGGACAAUGGCCGAAAGCCUGAUCCAGCAAUGCCGCGUGCAGGAUGAAGGCCUUCGGGUUGUAAACUGCUUUUGUACGGAACGAAAAGCCCCGGGUUAAUACCCUGGGGUCAUGACGGUACCGUAAGAAUAAGCACCGGCUAACUACGUGCCAGCCGCCGCCGUAA
This 498-nucleotide ribosomal RNA is filed under the name uncultured bacterium. RNAcentral's name for it is "partial 16S ribosomal RNA". It matches the Rfam family "Bacterial small subunit ribosomal RNA", at positions 30 to 523 of the family's 1533-position model. The record is from RNAcentral.